GACGAACGCUGGCGGCGCGCCUAACACAUGCAAGUCGAACGAGCGAGAGAGAGCUUGCUUUCUUGAGCGAGUGGCGAACGGGUGAGUAACGCGUGAGGAACCUGCCUCAAAGAGGGGGACAACAGUUGGAAACGACUGCUAAUACCGCAUAAGCCCACGGUGCCGCAUGGCACAGAGGGAAAAGGAGCAAUCCGCUUUGAGAUGGCCUCGCGUCCGAUUAGCUAGUUGGUGAGGUAACGGCCCACCAAGGCGACGAUCGGUAGCCGGACUGAGAGGUUGAACGGCCACAUUGGGACUGAGACACGGCCCAGACUCCUACGGGAGGCAGCAGUGGGGAAUAUUGCACAAUGGGGGAAACCCUGAUGCAGCGACGCCGCGUGGAGGAAGAAGGUCUUCGGAUUGUAAACUCCUGUUGUUGGGGAAGAUAAUGACGGUACCCAACAAGGAAGUUACGGCUAACUACGUG
This 466-nucleotide ribosomal RNA is filed under the name uncultured bacterium. RNAcentral describes it as "partial 16S ribosomal RNA". It matches the Rfam family "Bacterial small subunit ribosomal RNA", at positions 28 to 507 of the family's 1533-position model. The record is from RNAcentral.